Molecule: transfer RNA, 76 nt
Filed under: Caudoviricetes sp.
Lineage: Duplodnaviria; Heunggongvirae; Uroviricota; Caudoviricetes
Description: tRNA-Met
Rfam family: tRNA
About the family: Transfer RNA (tRNA) molecules are approximately 80 nucleotides in length. Their secondary structure includes four short double-helical elements and three loops (D, anti-codon, and T loops). Further hydrogen bonds mediate the characteristic L-shaped molecular structure. tRNAs have two regions of fundamental functional importance: the anti-codon, which is responsible for specific mRNA codon recognition, and the 3' end, to which the tRNAs corresponding amino acid is attached (by aminoacyl-tRNA synthetases). tRNAs cope with the degeneracy of the genetic code in two manners: having more than one tRNA (with a specific anti-codon) for a particular amino acid; and 'wobble' base-pairing, i.e. permitting non-standard base-pairing at the 3rd anti-codon position.
Source: RNAcentral
UGCAGGAUGAACUAAUGGUUAAGUUACUAGCCUCAUAAGCUAGGUAUUGUGAGUUCAAAUCUCACUCCUGCAACCA